Molecule: transfer RNA, 27 nt
Filed under: Chiroxiphia linearis
Lineage: Eukaryota; Metazoa; Chordata; Aves; Passeriformes; Pipridae
Description: partial tRNA-Trp
Source: RNAcentral
UAGAAACUUAGGUUAAUUUAAACCGAA